ACUCCUACGGGAGGCAGCAGUAGGAAUUUUCCGCAAUGGACGGAAGUCUGAACCAGCCAUGCCGCGUGCAGGAAGACGGCCUUCUGGGUUGUAAACUGCUUUUAUCAGGGAAGAAUAAGCUUCUUGCGAGAGGUGAUGCCGGUACCUGAGGAAUAAGCACCGGCUAACUCCGUGCCAGCAGCCGCGGUAAUACGGAGGGUGCAAGCGUUGUCCGGAUUUAUUGGGUUUAAAGGGUGCGUAGGCGGCCUGUUAAGUCAGUGGUGAAAGGUAUCAGCUCAACUGAUGACGUGCCAUUGAAACUGGCGGGCUUGAGUACAGACGAGGUAGGCGGAAUUUAUGGUGUAGCGGUGAAAUGCAUAGAUACCAUAAAGAACACCGAUAGCGAAGGCAGCUUACUAGGCUGAGACUGACGCUGAGGCACGAAAGCGUGGGAGCGAACAGGAUUAGAUACCCU
This 454-nucleotide ribosomal RNA is filed under the name uncultured bacterium. RNAcentral describes it as "bacterial SSU rRNA". It matches the Rfam family "Bacterial small subunit ribosomal RNA", at positions 335 to 788 of the family's 1533-position model. The record is from RNAcentral.